GGCUGGUCCAAGUGCAGUAGUGUUUGCAGCUAGUCGAUGACAAACAGUUACAGAUUUCUUUGUUCCUUCUCCACUCCCACUGUUUCACUUGACUAGUUAAAA
Molecule: unclassified non-coding RNA, 102 nt
Organism: Mandrillus leucophaeus (drill)
Lineage: Eukaryota; Metazoa; Chordata; Mammalia; Primates; Cercopithecidae
Rfam family: Y RNA
About the family: Y RNAs are components of the Ro ribonucleoprotein particle (Ro RNP), in association with Ro60 and La proteins. The Y RNAs and Ro60 and La proteins are well conserved, but the function of the Ro RNP is not known.
Source: Ensembl